Molecule: transfer RNA, 89 nt
Filed under: Caudoviricetes sp.
Lineage: Duplodnaviria; Heunggongvirae; Uroviricota; Caudoviricetes
Description: tRNA-Ser
Rfam family: tRNA
About the family: Transfer RNA (tRNA) molecules are approximately 80 nucleotides in length. Their secondary structure includes four short double-helical elements and three loops (D, anti-codon, and T loops). Further hydrogen bonds mediate the characteristic L-shaped molecular structure. tRNAs have two regions of fundamental functional importance: the anti-codon, which is responsible for specific mRNA codon recognition, and the 3' end, to which the tRNAs corresponding amino acid is attached (by aminoacyl-tRNA synthetases). tRNAs cope with the degeneracy of the genetic code in two manners: having more than one tRNA (with a specific anti-codon) for a particular amino acid; and 'wobble' base-pairing, i.e. permitting non-standard base-pairing at the 3rd anti-codon position.
Source: RNAcentral
GGAUGGGUGGCAGAGCGGCUUAUCGCGCCAGGUUGCUAACCUGGUGAGCCCGCAAGGCUCCGCGGGUUCGAAUCCCGCCCCAUCCGCCA